GCUGAGGAGUGAUGACAAAAAAGGCCGAAUUGCAGUGCCUGUGAACAGUUUUCUCUCUAAAGGCAUGAUGACAAAACUCCUGAAGCGACUUUUUGUCUGACCUCAGU
Molecule: small nucleolar RNA, 107 nt
Organism: Sceloporus undulatus (fence lizard)
Lineage: Eukaryota; Metazoa; Chordata; Lepidosauria; Squamata; Phrynosomatidae
Product: small nucleolar RNA SNORD89
Exons: 1
Source: RefSeq, a predicted model, not a curated record